This is a long non-coding RNA of Gossypium arboreum, 371 nucleotides long. RefSeq lists it as uncharacterized. The transcript is spliced from 2 exons. Lineage: Eukaryota; Viridiplantae; Streptophyta; Magnoliopsida; Malvales; Malvaceae. The record is from RefSeq and is a predicted model, not a curated record.
UAUUUUUCAUUCCCCUUCAACAUCACCCCUCUUUUCGUCUCCAUAAACAAUUCCUUUCAAGGUUCAUUUACUACUCCCCCUUCUUUUUCAUUUCCUCUUCCAGUUUCCUCUUCUUUUUUUUUUCUUGUUUUUACUUUAAAUCAUCAUAAUCGGAAGAAAAUGGGAGCAAUAGGAAUUUUGCGGUUUCUUGUACUUGUUCAAGUCGUCAACUUUGUUGAUGGUUUUCCAUGGAAUCUUCAUCAUAGUCAUCAUCCCCAUCGUGGAUCUCAUGGACCAUGGAUCAAUGCUCAUGCCACUUUUUAUGGUGGUUCAAAUUUCCUUUGAGGGACCUUAAAAAGAAAAUAAUAAAUAAGGAAGAGUUUAUGAACUAA